This 567-nucleotide ribosomal RNA is filed under the name uncultured bacterium. Its description in RNAcentral is "partial 16S ribosomal RNA". It matches the Rfam family "Bacterial small subunit ribosomal RNA", at positions 355 to 912 of the family's 1533-position model. The record is from RNAcentral.
UGGGGAAUAUUGCACAAUGGGCGCAAGCCUGAUGCAGCCAUGCCGCGUGUGUGAAGAAGGCCUUCGGGUUGUAAAGCACUUUCAGCGAGGAGGAAGGUGGUGAGCUUAAUACGCUCAUCAAUUGACGUUACUCGCAGAAGAAGCACCGGCUAACUCCGUGCCAGCAGCCGCGGUAAUACGGAGGGUGCAAGCGUUAAUCGGAAUUACUGGGCGUAAAGCGCACGCAGGCGGUUUGUUAAGUCAGAUGUGAAAUCCCCGGGCUCAACCUGGGAACUGCAUUUGAAACUGGCAAGCUAGAGUCUCGUAGAGGGGGUAGAAUUCCAGGUGUAGCGGUGAAAUGCGUAGAGAUCUGGAGGAAUACCGGUGGCGAAGGCGGCCCCCUGGACGAAGACUGACGCCCAGGUGCGAAAGCGUGGGGAGCAAAACAGGAUUAGAUACCCUGGUAGUCCACGCUGUAAACGAUGUCGAUUUUGGAGGUUGUGCCCUUGAGGCGUGGCUUCCGGAGCUAACGCGUUAAAGUCGACCGCCUGGGGAGUACGGCCGCAAGGUUAAAACUUAAAUGAAUUG